UCCGGAGGAAGCUCACCGUCGAGGCCACGCACUGGGUGCCCGUCACCCGCGCUUCCCGCCUCGGGGAAGGUCUGAGGGAAGGGCCCGACGCGGCUCCAGCAGAGCCCUGCCCGCGUGGGUGGGUGAGCCACCAGCAAGGGGGGGCGCCGCGCGGGCCGGCCUGGGCAGGAGAAGCCCGAGCGGCUGCGGAUUUGAUCUGAGCCGGGGCGGAUGCUCGUGGCUCCGCGGUGCUUUGAGACAGACUCACGGCCGGCGUAUUGAGUCCAAUGGGUGAGGUGGGGCAGUGCCGCACAACCUAAUUCAGACUACUCUCCGCCGGA
Ribozyme from Chrysolophus pictus (golden pheasant), 320 nucleotides. It matches the Rfam family "Nuclear RNase P". From Rfam's summary of the family: Ribonuclease P (RNase P) is a ubiquitous endoribonuclease, found in archaea, bacteria and eukarya as well as chloroplasts and mitochondria. Its best characterised activity is the generation of mature 5'-ends of tRNAs by cleaving the 5'-leader elements of precursor-tRNAs. Cellular RNase Ps are ribonucleoproteins. The record is from Ensembl. Lineage: Eukaryota; Metazoa; Chordata; Aves; Galliformes; Phasianidae.